This 65-nucleotide transfer RNA is filed under the name Clostridium perfringens. RNAcentral describes it as "tRNA-Ser". It matches the Rfam family "tRNA". Rfam says of the family: Transfer RNA (tRNA) molecules are approximately 80 nucleotides in length. Lineage: Bacteria; Bacillati; Bacillota; Clostridia; Eubacteriales; Clostridiaceae. The record is from RNAcentral.
GGAGAGUUAGCUUAAAUGGUAAAGUAUUUUCCUACUAGAUAAAGGUUCGAAUCCUUUACUCCCCA